RNAcentral lists this transfer RNA (81 nucleotides) under Annulohypoxylon moriforme. Its description in RNAcentral is "tRNA-Asp". It matches the Rfam family "tRNA". From Rfam's summary of the family: Transfer RNA (tRNA) molecules are approximately 80 nucleotides in length. Their secondary structure includes four short double-helical elements and three loops (D, anti-codon, and T loops). The record is from RNAcentral. RNAcentral also lists the same sequence under 1 other name. Lineage: Eukaryota; Fungi; Ascomycota; Sordariomycetes; Xylariales; Hypoxylaceae.
UCUCGAUUCGUCUAGUGGUUAGGAUACCUGCUUGUCAUCUUGAAUUCGCAGGUGGCCGGGGUUCAAUUCCCCGAUCGAGAG